This 1283-nucleotide long non-coding RNA is filed under the name Homo sapiens (human). RNAcentral describes it as "HSALNT0405863". The record is from RNAcentral. Lineage: Eukaryota; Metazoa; Chordata; Mammalia; Primates; Hominidae.
CUGACUAGAGAACAAACUACCAAUUAACGAGCGAGGAAACAGGGCCAGAGAAUUGGAACAAAAUACAAGGCUGCCUCUGAAAGGAAUAUCUUUGUGCUGAUGUGUCCAUCAAGAGAACAUACACAGAAGUGACACUUGCCAGUAAUUUGCAAGCAGAUGGAACUUCAAUAUGGCAAUAGAGAAAGAAUCAAUUAGACCAGAGUCUCCUCAGGAAGACUUUCUAUAGGUGGACGGUCCCCUGGAGAGCCCGCUGUGUUGGAAGAUGUAGAAUAUUCAUAUAUCUGGUGAGCAUCUGCUAGAUGCCAGGGUUGGGGAGAGUCAAGUUGAAGCAAGCAUGAACCCUCAAGGACCUACCAUUUCAAGGCAAGAAAUAGAUACAAAUACAGCGUAAUUAUCUCUCCAAUUAAAGAGCAACCAAGGGACAACUGAACUGGAGGUUCUGCAGAAUUACAACUAAGCACGCAGCCGAGGAAUCUACUCAGCUUUGAUCUCUUAUCGCUCUGCACACACAGCCCUUUCUCUGUAAGGCUAGCUGCUCUCAGCAUCACUGUGUCUAAUCAAACGUGUCACACCUCCACUGAGAAAAUAUUUACUGGAUAGCUACUAGACAUAAGGAUGCAGAAAUGAAUUAGAAAAAUUCCUCGCCCUUGUUCAAAGCUAUGCUGGCUCUUAGAACAUCUGAGCCCCCACUGUUUCAUCUUUAGAGGAUCCCAGCUGCUGGGGUGUGAGGCCAGUGCUGGAGCCAGCAGUCUCUGACCCAGAAGGGACCUGAGGUGCUAAAGAAAAGGGUACAAGCUGGAAAAGGGGAAAAUGAAUCAUGCUACAGGCCAAGUGUCCAUCACUGAUUCCCAGAGAUGCCCUUUGUGUGGUAGGCACUUCCAUGUGGACUCGCUACAGAGUUUGGAGUUCCUGAACAACAUGGACAGUGUUAAUUUGGAUUCCAUGCUUCAUGGCACAGAAUUGGAGCACUAACUACUCAGUGAUGACUUUCUCUUCCUCUAGCUAAGGUGAUCAACAAGUUUCCUUGUUCUUUCUCCAAGUAGUAGAAGAAAGUAAAGGUCAUAAGACCCUAAUUCCAGAGGGCCCUACCCUAUAACCAGAAGGAAGAACUAUUGCACAGAGAAUCUAAGAAGAAUCUAGACAGACAGCCCUUGCUGGAUUUCUCCACUCUGUUAGCAUUCGAUCAUUUGCCUUUUGUCCAGUCAUAUUUCUGCAUGGCUGUCCAUACUUUGUUGAACCUAAGCACAAAAUGGAAAGUUUUCCCUGUAUCUUUGGGUCGUCAU